CCUACGGGAGGCAGCAGUGGGGAAUAUUGGACAAUGGGCGAAAGCCUGAUCCAGCCAUGCCGCGUGUGUGAAGAAGGCCUUCGGGUUGUAAAGCACUUUCAGUGGGGAAGAAAGCCUUGGGGCUAAUACCCUCGAGGAAGGACAUCACCCACAGAAGAAGCACCGGCUAACUCCGUGCCAGCAGCCGCGGUAAUACGGAGGGUGCGAGCGUUAAUCGGAAUUACUGGGCGUAAAGCGCGCGUAGGCGGUCUGAUAAGCCGGUUGUGAAAGCCCCGGGCUCAACCUGGGAACGGCAUCCGGAACUGUCAGGCUAGAGUGCAGGAGAGGAAGGUAGAAUUCCCGGUGUAGCGGUGAAAUGCGUAGAGAUCGGGAGGAAUACCAGUGGCGAAGGCGGCCUUCUGGACUGACACUGACGCUGAGGUGCGAAAGCGUGGGUAGCAAACAGGAUUAGAUACCCGUUAGU
Molecule: ribosomal RNA, 463 nt
Filed under: Vreelandella stevensii
Lineage: Bacteria; Pseudomonadati; Pseudomonadota; Gammaproteobacteria; Oceanospirillales; Halomonadaceae
Description: partial 16S ribosomal RNA
Rfam family: Bacterial small subunit ribosomal RNA
Source: RNAcentral